CCAUUGGAAAAAUGUAGUACCUAGGGCGGGUCCAUAGUCCUUCACUGCUUCCCUUGGAUAGGGGAGGGAGGUCCCUCGGCUCAUUGUACUUCCUGGAUGAAGCAAUGCCCCACCCUGCUUCUGCUAGCUCACUGUGGGUUGCACCCACCGCCUAACCAGUUCCAUUGAGAUGAACUGGGUAUGUCAGUUGGAAAUGCAGAAACCACCCACCUUCUCUGUUGGUCUCGCUGGGUGCUGCAAACCAGAGCCGUUUCUAUUCAGCCAUCUUGGCCCUUCCUCCCAUCUGUAUAUCUUAAUUUUACCUUUCUUUUUGAAAGCUAACUUGGGAGAAUAUAGAAUUCUAGGCAAAAUUGUUGAGCCAAGGUCCUGGAACUGUGAGUAAGAAAAUGACAAACCCAUCUCUCAGUGGCACCCCUACUGCAGGAGUUGAGCACUCAUUAGAGAAGAGCAGCAGGAAAUGGACCUGAAUAUCCUCUUAGCAGCCAUGACUGGAUGCCAAAUGGGACAAAGAAGAACUUUGAAUAUGACAUCACACUACCUCCUGCACUGUGGUUCCUGAUAAGAAAUCAGCCAUUCAUCUUACUGAGACUCCUUGAUUGGUGCCCUCAUAAGAAGAGAAAGACACACCAAAGCACUUCCUUUGAUGUGAAGAUACAGUGAUAAGGUAGCACUUUCCAGGAUCUUACUGUUACCCAGGAUGAAGUACUGUGGCAUGAUCACAGCUCCCUGAAGCCUCAACCUCUCCAAGCUCAGGUGAUUUCUUCCACCUCAGCCUCCAAAGUAGCUGGGACUACAGGCAUGCGCCACUACACCCAGCUAAUUUUUUUGUGUGUUUUGGAGAGAUAGGGUUUCAUCAUGUUGCCCAGGCUGGUCUGAAACUCCUGGACUCAAGCAAUCUACCCACCUGGGCCUCCCAAAGUGCUAGGAUUACAGGCAUGAGCCACUACGCCCAGCAAGGUAAUGAUUAAACUAAAAGUAAUUGAAAUAUUGGCAUCUUGAUUUAUAUAAUAUGUAUUUAUCAGUUUUUCUAUUAUAAGAGGACAAAUAAGACAGAAAGUUGGUAGUCAAGUCAGUCAAAACAAGACAGUGUCUAAUUUGAGAUUAUAAACAUUAUAAUGCAUGAGAAAAACCAAACGCACUUCACAUUAAAGGUAUUUUUUAUGCAUUCACACUGGCGAGCAUCGAAGUUUACCUUUAUUGACACAUAAAAAGUUAUUGUAGAUUGUUAUGACACAUUAUUUCUUGCUGCCUUUUUUAUCUUAAUGACUUUCGCAAAACAAUGUGAUAUAAAUUGCUACUAGCAUAAAACACAUUCCAGCAAUAGAUAAAAACAGUUUCUUGGCUGCAAGAAGCAUAUAUUUCAACACCUGCUUCAGGCACAAUACAUUGAAAUUUAUGCCCUCUACUGUUAUUUGAGUAAUGCUCUUUCUGUUGUUUCUCACUGGGGAACUACAAUACUAAUAUCUUAAUUUUUCAGACAUCAAUAUUAGUUUAAUGAGUGAGACAUAAUUGCAAAACUUGCUAAUAAGGUACAAACCAAAAAGUCUUUAAAAAAAUUGCAAAAUCAGCAACUUGAAAGAGUUUUCGAACUUUAAAAUUGAUAAAUCAUACUCUGUUUAAAAUUAAAGUCAAUAAAAAGAGUAUUUUUUCCGUAUCAGUUGAUUUUCUAUAGGCUUAACGCCUAUACUGCACUAUAAAUUCACUCAAUAAAGGUCUUUUCUAAAAAAAAUUUUUAUAAAAUAAAAUAACCUGUACACACUAUGUUUUAUUAAUUAAAAAUAUUAAGAGAUAAUUUUAAAUGCCAUCUUACACUAAUUUCUGGAACUAUAAAGAGAAAUAUUUCACCAUCAUAGACCUCAAAGGCAGUCUUUACAGGAUUCAGACAAUACGUCCAACAUAGGAAGUGUUAUGGGUAAGGUGAGAGGGCUCUGGGGGGUAUUAGUUAUGGGGUGUGGAUGGGUCAGAGAAAAUUUCCCAGGGUAGGUAAUAUCUACAUUGCUUGAGUAACAGUUAUUCCUACGGUGUUACAGAGAGCCAUGACUACAAAAGCUCAGGGCUUAGAGAGAACCUGAGAGAUUCUGCCAACUUCAGAUACUUUUGCCUGGGUUGAAUGUGGAUGUGAAGGAGAGAAAAUUGGUGAGGAACACCUCAGGGAACACAUCAUGUACCAUAUUAAAGAGAUUGGAUUUAUCCUAAAAGCUACAGGGAGCUAACAAAGAAAGGCUGUAAUGGAGGACACUGAUGUGUUCUGAUUUGUGGCUCGCGCUGGUAACAAUAUCAAGAGUGGAUGCAGGGCAUGGGGAUGUGACAGUUGUUGUAUCAAUUAUUGCAGUAAAUGACAAGGGCCAGAAUUUAAACAAAUAUGAAAUGUCAGUAGGGAUAGAAUUUUUCUAUCAAAAAUAAUUAGGCUUUCCAACUAUGCUUAAUAAAUUUAAUAUGUUGAAUAGCUUGCAGAGAAUAAAAUGAGUGUGUAGUGGAUAUAAUGUGGAAGAUACAGAUCAAUAGUACACAUAUUUAUAAAGAUAUAUUCUCCUCAGUCCAAGAAUGAAUAUCAUUUUGGCCAAAAUCCAUUACCAAGCAGCUGUGUUACCCACAUUUAAUUCUGUGGGCUUUGCCUGUUUUAAUUUGAACAGCAGAACCUGUGAGGUAGGGGCUCUUAUUCCUCUUAUAAGAAACUGAGUUAUAUAGAGGUGUGUGAGUUUCCAAGGCUUCAUAGCAGAUUCUGGAAUGAAAACAUGUCUGUCUUCAGAGACAAUGGUUGUAAUAAUUAUGCAAUAUGCCCCAUCUUCUAAUUCAAAUAUUUGGAAUGCUCUGCCUACUACUACAGUUAAUUCCACACCAAAGCUGAAAUUACUUAUAGUAGGUAAGACUUCCAUGAGCUAAGUGAUUGAAUCCUGGCUUAUGUAAAGCCAUCAGGUAAUAGACACAGAUUUAGCUGCAGGUGCCAUGCUGCACAUUUGCAGCUUAAUGACCAAAGAGGGCUGAUGAGUAGUCAUGGUGGCAAUCAUUGCUACAAGGAAAGGAGAUGGAAAUGAGGACAGACUGCUGUGAUGGGAGACAGAGGUUGGAAGCACUAAUAUCAUCAAUAUUAAUGCCAGUUGCAAUGUGAGCUCAGUGCCAGGGAGGCUGGUGAAGUGGACACCCAUGAGAGGCUAAUAGCUACAUCUAAUCAUCAAAGGGCAGAUGUUAAAUGUGAUUCAGAGGAAAGUGAGAGGAAGUGCUAACAAUGGCACAGAUGAAGAGAUAGGCUGAUACACGUGGUGAAAAUUGUCUAACACAAGCAUUAUCUUGGAGGAAAGAAGAGCAGAAGGGAGGGGAAGUUAUUCCUCAAAAUCCAUAAUUUUUUUUAAUUAGUCCAAGCCAGGCGCAAGAAAAACAACAUAACAAAUAUUUAAACACAUUUACAAACCCCAAUAAUUAAACAAAAAGUCAAAGCAAGUGAUUUUUUUCAAAGGAAAUACUGUGGUGUUAUCAUGGAAAUAUGUCUUUUAAAACAUCUUUAUCGAGUGAAAAAAAGAAUAUAAAUAAAAAUGGCAAAAAAAUCUCAAUGCUGCCAUUCUUUUUGUGUGUGUAUCCACAUAUCUAGAGAUCAUCUUAUAUAGAGUGCCUCUUCUCAUCUCCUUUGAGCUUUUGUGUUUUGUUGCUAAGGGAUGUUGAUGAGGCUAGCAGGAAUUUAUCAUCAGUGUGUUGAAGUGGAAGAUAGUAGAUGUUGUUAAUCUGUAGAUUGUAGAGCUCUUCCUACAGUGCUUCAAUCAGUUUACCUGUUAACACAAAAGAUUCCUAUUUCAAAAAAUGCAAAACUGUACGUAAUAGUGUGCCUGAGAGCAUUCAAAUGUAUUUAACUUUGACCUUCCUCAUCACUUCCAAUUGAGUAAACAAUCUUCCAAUGCUGCUGACAGCACCACUCAGUAAUAUUACUGUAACUAGUACAAGUCAUAUUCCCAGGCCAAAAGUAAAAAUUUCUUAGGGUGUCUGAUCUGUAGUUGCAGCAGCUAGUGAAUUUCUACCAGAGAUAAAUAUUUUUAAAAGCAAAAUUGAAACAACCAUCUCAACUAUUCACAAUCCGACAGCCAAAAGCUAAAUUAUCCUCCAAAUUGGAGAGGAACUCUACCAAGACUGAAAAUAAAAAGUUAUGAAGACCUGGCUUAUAGUAAUGUUUAGCAUUAGAGCAAUUGUACUUUUUUAUACAACAAGAUACACAUCACAUUUACUUCAUAUAAAUAAGAAUAGAUGAGAUAUGUGAAGAAGCGAAGUAAAUUAUGGGAAAAAAUAUAAGAUGAUAGACUAUAAGGGUAAAACAGGUGCAUUAAUAUUAAAAGUAGUGAAGACAUAGAUGUGAGACUUUCAUAAACAAUAUGUUAUAUAUAAAACAAAACAGAAAUACUGGAAUGGUGGAAAGAAGAACAAGACUUCAGCAGCUUUAGAUCCUAGUAUUGCCCUCAACUUGCAUUAUCCACUCCUAUUCUUUAUAAAUCUCAAAAGAGCUUCUAAUUUAGUUAAGUUGAUUGCCUUCCAUAAAGGUUAUCUAUAUCCUCACCUAGAAGAGUGAAAGGAAUGAUGCAAGAAGUUAACAACUAUUUGUUGAGUUAAAGAAUUAAUGUAGCCUAAAACAGGUCUUUUGAUUCCUAUACUUACAACUUUGUUUCUAUAUUUCACCUUUUAAGUCGUCUUCUUUGAAUGUUACUCAAAUGAUUCCAGAUCCCUCUAAAAGUCCUUACCUAUGGUAAGACAUUUUUGGGCAGUUUUAGCCCCAAAUAAUUUACCUUGUAAAAUUAUAUUUAUUUUUGUUUCUAUUAAUGUAACAAAUUAUAUACUGUAUGAGAACAUUUUAAUGGUUAUUUUGUGGUACAUAUGUAUAGAGUCUUCAAUGUUUGUAUAUAAGUGCUAUGAUCUGAAAGUUUGUGUCCCCCCAGAAUUUACGUAUUGAAACCUAAUAUGAUGGUAUUAAAAGAUGGAACCUUUGGGAGGCGAUUAGGUCAUGUGUGUAGGACGAUUAUGAAUGGGAUUAACGCCCUUAUAAAAGAGACUCCAGAGAACUAGCUUGAACUUUUCAUGUGAGGAAACAGCAAGAAGGUACCAUCUUUAAACCAAAACAGGAAAGGGGCCUUCACCAGAAACAAAACUUGCUGGUGCCUUUAUCUUGGACUUUCCAGCCUCCAAAACUGUGACAAGUAAAUUUCUGUUUAUGAGUUACCAAGUCUAUGAUAUUUUGUUACAGCAGUUUAAACAAACUAGGACAAUUUAUGUAUAUCUAUUCAAUGUCAUGGUAAGUUUUUUGAAAGUCAAGAGCUCAUCACUAUAUAUUUGGUAUAUUUACUUAGUGCCCAGCAUAUUUUUGUGUCAUGAUAUGUGUACAGAAACAUUGAAAGAAUAAUGCAAUAACCAUUGAAACAAGGAUGGAAUUACAAAAAAAAAAAAAGAGAAAGAGCUCUGUGAAGACAAGUUCCAGACUCUUUUGCAUAUAUUACUUAAGGAAAUUAAAGAAAGUGAUUAUUAAAUAAUUUUUCUUCAAAUUAAGUUAGAAGAGAAAAUACUGAUAAUACUACAACUACAGAUUUGCUCAGCAAAGCAUUUACAAAGAUACUUUCCUAUAGUAAGAGAGAACUCUUUCUAAAAUUGGUGCUGUAAGCAGUUAAGUAAAUUAAACAAUAACCAAAACAUUCAAGUACUAUUUUAACUUGAUGCAUCAAAAAUUACAUUAGCUUGUAAACAAAUAAUAAAAAUAUUUUUGUAAAUUUUGCCUUUGUUUUUAUUUGAUAUAUCCAUUUCAACAGACAAAAUGCAUACAUUAGGUUUAACCCAAUAAAAUAAACUUGAAAGAAUGGUUGGUAAUAAACAAAGGAGGACAAAGAAAAUGAGAGAUGACAUCAUAAGAGAGUAACUGUGAACAAUAUCUUGAAAGUUGAAAAACACUGUCUUCAGUAGAACAAGGACAGCUGAAACAUAAAUGCUUACUAAAAGGGAUAGUUAUAAGAAACAAGCUGAAUCACCAUGUAUGACAUAAGAGAUGCUCAGGAUUGGACAACCUGUUGCUGUAGAAGAAUGAAAUAAACUUAAGAAUAUACCUUGAUUGAAACUCUGUGGAGCAGUUUGACUUCUGGCACGCCCACUGAUCUAGUGGCAGCUUAAGCCAUUCUAUUCUCCAAUCAUCAUAGAAAAUCUGAGUUUUUUUCCUUAUAGAAAUUUGUUCUGAGUUGAGAAUACUAGGCUGGUAAGAAGAGGCAUAGGGAUGACAUGGUAUUUCAGCAAGCUGAAGAGUAUAAGCCACAUCGUUUAUGAACCAAUUGACAUUAAGUUCCCAAUAUUCACUGUUAGACCAGCAAAAGCCUGGCUUACUUCCUCUUCCCAUUGCAGGAAGCUUAUCAUGCUCCAAGUACAUCCCACCACAAUCUGAGCUUGCAAGAAACUUUUAAAUUCUUCAUGAUGAGAUAUGAGUGGAGAGCAAUGAUUUUUAUACAUUUGGUGAGAAAACUAACAUCAAACAGAGUGACAAAAACAAUUGAAUUAAUAACAAGAAUAAUUAAUGGCAGGUCAAUGAGCUCAUUCCAAUUCAGUGUUUUACUUCUGGUGCUUACUAUAAGUAAUCCCAAGAAAGGGAAGCAACGAGACAGCAUUUAAGUUCUGAUACUAAGUGGUAAAGAUCUAACACCACUAAAGCUCACUUGCAAAAAUUAGAAGAGGUGGCUGUCUCCUCAAAUACAUAGGCAUCAUUGUAAAGAUGCAAGAAUCUUGAAAACUCAGAGAAAUUUAACAUAACCAAAAAAAAAAAAAAAAGAAAGAAAGAAAGAAAAAAAAAAAAAAACAAUGCUCCAGCAAUGAAUCCAGAAUUCAGGAUCUCUGAAAUGUCUGACAGAUAAUUCAGAAGAAGUUCAGAGAAUCACAAGAAAAUACGUAUAAAAAACUAAAUAAAAUUUGGAAAACAAUACAGAAACAAAAGAUAAUUGAGAAAGAAAUAGAAACAAUUAAAAAAGGAAAUCCUAGAAAUGAGUAAUUUAAUAACUGGACACAAACUCAUUAGAAAUUUUCAACAUCAAACUUGAUCAAACAGCAAAAGAAUAAGCAAGCUUAAUGACAGAACAUAUGAAAUUACCCAAUCAGAGGAGAAAAAAAAGAAAAGAAUAAAAAAGAGUGAAGAAGGCCUAUGAGGAUUAUAGGACACAUCAAUAAAUUAAUAUCCACCUACUAUGAAUUCCUGAAGGAGGUGAGAGAGAAAAAGGCCUUGAAAGCAAUUUUAAGAUAAAUAGUGACUGAAAAUUUUCCAAAUCUGGAGAAAGAUGACAGCAUUCAAACACAGGAGCCUCAGAGGACACCCAUGAAAUUCAACCCAAAGAGGAAUUUCCCAAACACGUCAUAAUCAAAUUAGUUUAAAAAAAUAAGAAUUCUCAAGGCAUCUAGAGGAAAGAAACAUAUCACAUUCAUCGCAGCCCAAAUAGGGCUUUCAACAAAUUACUCAGUAGAAACCUUGUGUGUCAGAAGAAAGUGGGAUGCUAUAUGCAAAGUGCUAAAGAAAGAAAAAAAAAGUGCCAAUCAAGGAUAUUGUACACAGCAAAGCUAAUGCUCAAAUAAAAAAGAGAAAUAAAGACUUUCCUUUCUCAGAUAAACAAAAGCUGAGGGAAUUUAUCAACAGUAGGCCUGUAUUACAAAAAAGUAUUAAAAGGAGUUAUUUAAUCUGAGAGAAAUAAUAAUGGACACUAACAUGUAACAAAGAAACAUCUAAAGGUAUUAAACUCACUGGUGAAAAAAUAAAACAAAUUCAGAAUAGUUUAAUACCUUAAUUGGUGUAAAUAAAUCACUUGCAUUUAAGUAUAAAGAAUAAAAGAUAAAACUAUUCAAAAGAAUAGUAACUACAACAAUUGGUUAAGAGAUAAGUCAUAUAAAAAGGUAUAAAAUGAAACAUCAAAAAGAAAAAAAUGUGGUGCUAACCUGAAGAAUUUCUUUUCGUUGCUUUUAUUUGUGAUUAAAGUUAAGUCAUUAUCAGUUUAAAAACUAAUUAUAAGAUUUUUUUUUGUAAUUCUCAUGGUAACCACAAAGCAAAAACCUGUAAUAGAUAUACUAAAAAUAAAUAGCAUAGAAUGCAAACAUGCUAAUAGACAAAAUCACUUAACCACAAGAGAGGUAAAAAGGAAGAAAUGAUUUGCAAAAUAACCAGAAAACAAAUAACAAAAUAUAAACAGUAAACCUUUAUCUAGCAAUAAUAACCUUGAAUAUAAAUGAAUUCAACUCUACAAUUAAAAGUGAUAGAGUGGCUAAAUGGAUUUUAGAAAGACUCAAGUAUAUACUGUGUACAAGAGACUCACUUCAUUUAUAAAGAUACUCACACACCGAAAAUAAGAGGUGGAAAAAUAUAUGCCAGGAAAAUCAAAGACAAAGAAAAGUAAGAGUAGCUAUACUUAGACAAGAUAGACUUUAAGUCAAGAAUAGUUAAAAACAAAAAGGCACAGAAGACCAUUAUGCAAUGAUAAAGAGGUCGAUAGAGAAAGAAGAUAUAACAAUUGUAAAUAUAUAUGCAUCCAAACACAAGAAUAUGCAAAUACAUAAAACAAAUAUUAACAGACCUAAAAGGAGAAAUUGGCUGUAAUAUAAUAAUGGUAGAAAAGUUCAACACCCCACUUUAAGCAAUGAACAGAUUAUUCAGCAGAAUUUUUAUUUAAAAUUGAAUUUAAACUUCUCUCUAGACCAAAUGAACCUAACAGAUAUUUAUAUAACAUUCCAUCCAACAGCUGCCCAAUACACAAUUUUCACAACAGCUUAUAAAACAUUCUCCAAAAUAGAACAUAUGUUAGGUUACAAAACAAGUCUGAACAAAUUUUUAAAAAUGGAAAUCAUAUCAAGUAUAUUCUCUGACCACAAUGGAAUAAAGUUUGAAAUCACAACAGAAGGAACAUUGGAAACCAUACAAAUUUAUGGAAAUUAAACAGUAUGUUCCUGAACAAUGAGUAAGUCAAAGAAAAAAUUAAAAACAAAAUUUAAAAAUUCCCUGAGACAAAUGAAAAUGGAAACACUCUUACCAAAACCAAUGGGAUACAGCAAAAGCAGUUCUAAAUGAGAAGUUGGUAACUAUAAGCACCUACAUAAAAAAGUAGAAAGACUUCAAAUAAAAAACCUAAUGAUGUACCUCACAAAACUAGAAAGCAAAAACAAGCCAAACCAAAAUUAGUAGAAGGAAAGAAAUAAUAAAAAUCAGAGCAGAAAUAAAUGAAAUUGAGACCAAAAAUGCAAAAGAUCAACAAAACAAAAAAGUUGUUUUUUUAAAAAAACAAAAUUGGCAAACAAUUUACCAGAUUCAGAAAAAGAGAAAAGACCCAAAUAAAUAAAAUCAGAGACCAAAAGGAGAUUUAAAAGUGAUGCCACAGAAUUACAAAAGAUUAUCACAAAUAUAAAAAAAAAAUGCCUACAAAUCAUAAAACCUAGAAGAAAUGGAUACAUUUCUGGACUCACACGACCUACCAAAAUUGUACCAAGAAGAAACAGAAAACCUUAACAGACCAAUAAUGAGUAAUGAGAUUGAAGCACUAAUAAAAAGUUUCCCAUUAAAGAAAAGCACAAGACCUGAUGGCUUUACUGCUUAAUUCUAUCAAACAUUAAAAAAAUACUAAUACCAUUUCUUCUCACACUUGUCCAAAAAACUGAAGAGGAGAGAAUACUUCCUAAUUAAUUACACAAGGUCAGGGUUAUCAUAAUACCCAAACCAGGCAGGAACUCAGCAACGACAAAAGCUACAGGGUAGUAUUUACGAUGAGCAUAGAUGAAAAAUUAUACACAAAAUACCAGCACACCGAAUUCAACAACACAUUAAAAAUCAUUCAUUAUGAUCAAGUAGGAUUCAUCCCAGGGAUGCAAGGAUGGUUCAACAUAUACAAAUCAAUAAACAAAACACAUCACAUUAACAUAUCAGUGCAAUGCAAAUCGAAACCGCAAUGAGAUAGCAUCUUGCCCCAAUUAAAAUGGAUGUUAUAAAAAAGUCCAAAAGUAGCAAAUGCUGGUGAGGGUGCAGAGAAAGGGAAACACUAGUAUUUUAUGACUGACAAUGUAUAAUAAAUUAGUAUAGUUACUGUGAAAAACAAUUUCGAGCUUCCUCAAAAAACUAAAAAUGGAACUAUCAGACAGGUGUAGUGUUGCACAACUGUAGUUCCUGCUGCUCAGAAGACUAAGGCAGGAGGAAGGCUUGAGCCCAGGAGUUUGAGGAUGCAGUGAGUUAUGAUCACAUGACAGCACACCAGCCUGGAUGACAGAGUGAGUCCCUGUUUCUACAAAAGACAUUAAAAAUAAAUAAAUGAAAGUAGAACUACAAUAUAAUCCAGAAUUCCACCACUAGGUAUAUAACCAAAAGAAAAGCAAUUAGUAUAUGUUGAAUACGUGUGCUUGUUUAUUGCAGCAUCAUUCACAGUAGCCAAGAUACGGAAUCAAACUGUUUAUCAAUUGAUAAACAGAUUUUGUAAUAUACAUAAUGGAAUAUUAUUCAGCCAUAAAAAAUGAAAUUUUGUCAUUUGCAGCAACAUGGAUGAAAUUAGAGGACACUAUGUUUAGUGAAAUAAACCAUGCACAUUAAUAACAAAUAUCACACAUUCUCACUCAGAUGUGAAAGCUCAGAUGUUGCUCUCAUGGUGGUAGAGAGUAAGAUGAUGGUUACCAGAGGCUGUGAAGUACUGAGGAAGGGGGGAUAAAAUGAAGCUGGGUAAUCAACACAAAAAUACAGUUAGAUAGAAAAAGUAAGUUCUAGUCUUUGCUAGUGCAGUUGAGUGACCGUAGUUAGCAAUAAUUUAUUGUACAUUUCAAAAUAGCUAAAUAAUAAUAUUUGAAAUAUUCCCAAUACAAAGGAGUGGCAAAUAUUUGAAGCAAUAUUACUGACAGAUACUGAUAUUUAUCCUAAUUACUCUUGAUUUAAUCAUUAUAUGUUGUAUACUUGCCUCAAAUUACUACAUGUACCCCAUAAAUAUGUACAAUUAUUAUUAUUAAUAAAAAAGAAUUACAGCUAGAAUAAGUUUAAACACAUCAAAUAUGGUAAUUUUUUUUGCUUUUAUAAUAAUACUAAACAACAUCAAACAAUGAUUUUAAAAGUAUUCUCUUUGAUUAAACUUUGAGGAUGUUUGGGAAACAACUCACUAUUUUGAAAACUAAUAAAUAAGGGAAUAUUAAACAUUCCAUUAUUUCCUAUACAAACUAUGCCUCAGGGUCAGCAAAUAGUUGAUGAUAAUUUUUUUUCUUUAUGAAAGUUUUCCAGCUAAAUUAUGGAAAAGAAAAUACAUAAUGGAAACAGUACAGAAGAGAGGGACAUAUUUUAAAUGACAUCAUAUGGAUUUAACUGAAACCUGAAGCAUCAGAAUUGAAAUCUAAAGCAUCAGAAAUCAUAGUAGGAGACAAAUCAACUAAUUUGCUCAUCAAGUAUUUUCUGAAAAGGUGGAUUGCUGCUUCAAAGGACCUGGACCCAGAGGCCCUGUCCAUGAAUGUUUCUUGCUUGGUUCCGAGGCCACCAAACAUACUGGCUGAGCCUUCUGUAUUCACCCUGGCCUAUCAAUGCCAUCUAUGAGAGCAGCCACACUGAGAGAGCAGCAGCAUGGAGCCUACUCAAGGGUUUGUUUCAAAAAUAUAUGGAAAACAAGAAAAACCAAAAGAGGAAACCAUUUCUAAUGAGGAGACUAGUUCAAUUAUUCUGAAGUCAAGCCCUGCUAAUCAAGGAGUUGGACCGACUGUGACAUUUGGGGAAGCCCCACAGAACAGGAUGGGAUCUUUUAUGAAGAAAUGGAUUGGGAAGAAAAACAUAAGAUAAGGUUGGAACCUCUUCUGGUGCAAGAAGGUCCUAAAUAUUACUGAGGAUCUCUCAUCUUCUAGGUGAAGCUCACAAAAUUGCCCUGGAGGUUGCUGCCUUCCUGGAAGCCAGAGUGAAAAAAAAAAAGAGGACAUGCAGUUGCACAUGGGAGGAUUUUGUGGGCCAUGGUUAUCAGGGCACAAUCCCUUAGCUCACCUUUCUCUGGUGAGAAAACACUUCCAGUGCCACACCUCAGUCUCCUCCCUCUGGUGAAAAAAACACUUCCAGUGCCACACCUCAGCCUCCUUCCUCUGGUGAAAAAACAGUUCCAGUGCCAUACCUCAGCCUUUCCUCUGGUAAAAAACACUUCCAGUGCCACACCUCAGCCUCCCUCCUCUGGUGAAAAAACACUUCCAGUGCUACACCUCAGCCUCCUUCCUCUGGUGAAAAAAUACUUCCAGAGCCACACCUUACCCUCCUUCCUCUGGUGAGAAACUACUUCCAGUGCCACACCUCAGCCUCCUUCCUCUGGUGACAAAACACUUCCAGUGCCACAACUCAGCCUCCUUCGACUGGUGAGAAAACACUUCCAGUGCCACACCUCAGCCUCCUUCCUCUGCUGAGAAAACACUUCCAGUGCCACAGCUCAGCCUCCUUCCUCUGGUCACAAAACACUUCCAGUACUACACAUCACUGCUGGAGAACUGGAGAGUGGAGUCUUCCAGCCCAAGAAGAAAGAAAUAUAGGAUUUUGUCAAGUACCAGAAGUUUCUGCCACACUCAGUGGGCAUUCUUUGAGUUAGUUUUUUUAGUAUAUUUCACUAAAAACUGUGAGAGAGGAACCCUUAAUAUAGGUCCUGCAAAAAACAAGUAUUCAAUAAAUCCUGUUGAAUCAAUAAAUGAAUCACCUCUUCCAAAAUAAGCUUAAUUGUUUAAGUUACUAGCAAAAUGCCUAAAUGAAAAUUAACCAUUCUAUAGAGACAUUAUUGAGUUAGUUCAUUCAGCCAUUCAAUAAAUGUAUUCAGUGUAUGUUUAUAGAAUAACUAUAAUUUACCAACUGUUUUAGGCAUGGGGGGUACAGCAGUGAAUAAAAUCAUCCAACUACCUAUUCUAACAGAGAUUAAAUUCUAGUGGUACAAGCAGCAGACGAACAAAUGAAUAAUUUCAUAUAUUCAUCCAUGCAAUAAUAUUGAAAAUUUUAUUUUCAAUAAAUAAUCAGUGGUCCUCAACCUUUUCGGCAUCAGGGAACAAUUUUGUGGAAAACAAUUUUUCUACAAACGGGUGGGAGAAUGGUUUCAGGAUGAUUCAAGCACAUUACCUUUAUUGUGCACUUUAUUUCUAUUAUUACUGCAUUGUAAUAUAUAAUGAAAUAAUUAUACAACUCAUCAUAAUGUAGAAUCAGUGGGAGCCCUGAGCUUGUUUUCCUGCAACUAGACAGUUCCAUCUGGGGGGAAUGAGAGACAGUGACAGAUCAUCAGGUAUUAGAUUCUCAUAAGGAGCAUGCAACCUAGAUCCUUUGCAUGUGCAGUUCACAACAGGAUUCAUGCUUCUAUGAGAAUCUAAUGCCACCACUGAUCUGACAAGAGGUGGAGCUCAGGAGGCAAAGCUCACUCACCUCCUGCUGGGCUACUUGGUUCCUAACAGGCCAUGGACCAGUACUGGUCCAUGACCUGAGGGUUGGGGACCACUGACUUAGAUUCUAGUGGAAAAAGAUGGGCUGUAAACAAACUAUGUAAGAAAAUAAUACAAGCAUAUUAGUGGGCCAGCUGUAGCAUGGUGGGAAAACAGGGCCAUGAGGAAAUGAACAAGCCCAUUUUACCAGCUGGGGUCAGGAAUAAUAAUGAUGUGGAGUCCCUUGAGUAUGGGGGAGCUACAGAAAGCAGAAACUGAACCAGGCUCUGGCCAGGGGACCCAUGUGCUGCGGCAGUGCUAGGAACCUGCACAACUCAGCCCAUAGCCCAGUUGAAUUAGCCCAUGCUGGCACCCACAUCUUGCUUGGGCACUGUCUCACGGUUUGACACUGGAGAUGGGUAUGAAGCCCUCUACUGGAUUAAUAAAACAAAUAAUACCUUUGUUCACAAGAUGAUCUUAAGAAGAACAGCAGAUGAGGACCCUGUAAAAUUUUAUUUUCCAGCAGAGAGGGUACAGAAGCUGAUUUUGUGAUUGAUUGGAAUGGGACAGCAGUGAGGAGCCACCAUUUUGCUCACAGAUGAAAGAUCACCCAUUGUAAGAGGCUGCCUGAAGAGAAAACAAGAUCCCGGUAGAAGACACAAAACUUCCACGUCAGAGACAAAGGAUUUCAUUACUCAUGGCAAAAGCAGGAAUCAGAGCUUCACAUUUGCUGGUGUCAAUUUCUCAUACCCUCAAAUCCCAGAAGCAUGACACAAAAGAGUCCAUGAUGGAUGUCUGAAUACACAGUGGGCUGUGUUAGAAGAGAGUAACACUGAGCUCAGGUGAUCUCUGCUUCUGUAGUAAGCUUGCACUUUGUCUCGGGGGAGACAUUCCCUCAUCACUCAAGACUGUUCCCUGCAAACACAACCUUGAAUAAUGGCCCAGAAGAGUGGUGAGAGUUCUAAAUUCCUGGCACUUCCAGCAAGUAUGCUCAGGAACACCAGGGCCCAAAGUGGAUUGCCUCUUCCUAAAAAUAUGUUUAUGACUGAAGCCCUUUCCUUUAAAAUGUUAGGUGAAUAUGGAUCUUUUAUUUGCUGUCCUAUUUCAUUUUCAAUAAUUCUGAGUAUGACUCACCAAAAUGAUUUCACAAAAUAAUCUGUAGUAACCUUCAAUUUAAACAACAAACAAAUAAAAAAAAUUGCUAUGUUAAGUAUAUAUUUGAGAGUGUAAUUGCAGAAUUACAUUCUUCCUUAACAUACAAUGUGAAUGGUUUUAUAAAGUGAUUUGUCAGUUAUUUAUCAUUUGCUUUUCACAAGCGGUGUAUGAAUAUUCCCCUUGCCAUAUGUCUCCACCACCACUUGGUUUUGUCAGACAUUUAUUGUUUGAUAAUCAAAUACUGCAUAAUUAUAUCUGAUUUGGUUGUAAUUUGCAUUUUACUUAUUAUUAAUGAGGUUUAGCAUUGCCAUAUGUGUAUAAGUCAUUUGUUUUUCAUUGUCUGUUAAAUGUCUGCAUAUGACUUUGGCCCGUUUUAAAAUUGAGAUAUUUCUUUCUUUUAGAUUGAUACAUGAAUUAUUUACAUUUGUGAGUUAUGAAUAUUGUCAAUAACGUCUCACUGUAGAUCAAUUUUUCACUGAAUUUCUGGUAUCAUUUUAUAAAUUAAAUUUAUUUUAAUGUUUCAAGUAUUCUAUUUUAAACUGAUAUUUUAUGGUAUUUGUCAUGUAUAAGAACUCAUUCUAGAUCAUUAGUCAUAAAGAUAUUCAUCUAAAUUUUCUUCAAAACUGUUAAAUGUCUUUAACAUUUAAGUCCUAAAUACAUCUGAACUGGUCCAAUAAUCCAAAUGAAUCAAAUAUCUAAGAAAAACUGUAACAAAGGAAGAGACAAAUCUAUAGAGAGUACAUUAUAAAACAUUCUUGAGGGAGAAUCAAUAUGAACCUAAAUUAAUAGAAAACUAUUUAUGGAGGGAAAGACAGUAUGUAAAGAAGCAAAUUAUCUUCAAUUCAUCUGUAAAUUUACUGCAAUCUCAAUAAAAAGUCAAGUAGAAGCUUUUUUGUUGAAAUUGAUAAGCCAAUAAUAAAUUGUAAAUAUUCAAAGAUCUAAUGAUAGCUAAUGCAAUAUUGAAGAUAAACUGAAAUUUUGGAGAAUCAAGACUUAUUUGAGGAUUGCAGUAAUGAAGACAGUGAUUAAUUGUGCAAGAAUAGACAAACCAUCCAAGAAAACAAAAUAGAGAGCUGAAAAGCAGACCCAGGCUUAUAUUGAUCAGUGAUAUAGGUGGCAUAACAGGAGGGUGACAAAAAGACAGUUAUUUCCAUAAAUUGUACUUCAUCAAUUGUAUAUCUGAGAGAGAGAGAAAGAGAGAGAAAUUGUUUUUAUUCAUAGUAUAAUAUAUAAUUGCUUCUAUUCAUAGAGAGAAAGACAGAGAGAUAACUGUUUCUAUUCAUAGUAUAAGCAUCUUAAUUUCAGGUGGUUUUUAGAUUUUUAUGUGAAAGUUAAAAAUAGUAAAUCCUAAGAGAGGAUAAUAUAGAGGACGUUUUCACCACAUGGGGUAUAUAAAGAUUAAUAAAACUGGACACAAAGUCUCUGAUUAUAAAAAAAAUUGACAAAUAUUUUGACUGUAAGAGAUUAUAUUAAUAAAUACACAAUACAAUUUUAAGAGAAAUGAAAUGAGAAAUGAAAAGAGCAGCAGUAGAGUGGGAUGUCAAAGUACAUAUGACUGACAAAAAAUUACAAAAUCAAGACUAAAAUGGCAUACCACUAGAGCAGCUAUAAAUACAAAGAGUAAAAAUGCUCUUCUGUUUGGAGGACGUGAAGCAUGUUCUUGGGCACUGAUUACGUGAGUAGGUAGCUUUUCCUGAUUAUAUCCUCUGCAGAGUUUUCAUAGUGUAUCAUGUCUAGAUCACAACUGGAAAGAUCUAUGGCAAAUUCAUCAUCUGUCAAUGAGCGCAACCAAUAUUUGUUACAAUUUUACCAUGUUUAAUUGUGAAAGAGUUCUUAGAGCAUCAAAACACAUAUCCAGAAAUACUAUCCUCAAGUACCAGGCAAUAUUUAUUUUUUUUCAGUUACUUUUCUGCCCUAUAUUUAUCACUAAGCUCAUAUGAACUUUUAAUUUUUUAAAAAAACCUUUAGGUGUCUGUUUUACUCAUUCCAGAGAGAAGGAACUUAUUGGCACAUGACUGAUUUAUUAAAUACACUCAAUAAAAGUUGGCAUUUUUACAGUCAGCAAGCUCAAUAAAGUUCACAAAUAAAUCUUCUAUAGUUCUCAUAUUUACAUAUUUCUCAUAUUACUCUUUACCUAGGUAUCUAUCAACUUUGAAAGAUCCAAAAAUAGAACAUGAGGGCCAUAAUUGUCUGGAAAUGAGGAGAGGGUAUAUUUCUUUGUGAGAAUUUUUUGUGUAAAUGAGUAAGUUAAGAUGAUAUUAUAAAACCAAUUAUUAUAAAAUUCCUGAGGAUAUCCUCUAUAGCAUGUACUUUGGCAUUGAUUAUCUAUAUGAGUAGGUAGCUUUUCCUGAUUACAUCCUUUAUAAAGUUUUCAUAGCAUAUCAUAGCUAUGAAAAUAUUUUUCAGAAAAAGAUAAACCACACAGGAAUAAAUGAUAAAGUGAAUGAUAACUUUUCAGUUAAAAAAAGAACUAAAUGUACAAUGAAAUUUGGGACUAAAUAAAUGGCACUUCUGCACAAUUCAGAUCUUUUUCCCCCUUAUGCUGAGCCUACUUUGUUGUUUUGCAUAACCUACAACAUGUAGACAUCUCAGUUAGAGACCUCUAUCCCAUACCCUUUUUCCCCAAAAGUUCUUUCCUUUCAUCAGUGAUGGCUGAGUCGAUUCUUAGACUAGUUCCAAUGUAUUCCCUUGAUGUAAUCAUCAGAUCUGUCUCCCCUCAGCACCUUGUUUGGGGAUGCUUCUCAUUCUCUAUGCCUAGGUACAAUUUCAAAUCCAGAGUUGGAGCUGUCAUCUUCAUAAAUUCUCCUUAGAUUAUAGGAGUUCACAAAAUCUUGUCAUUUCUGUGUACUCUUCUCGGUCUUAAGAAAUGUUUCUCCUGGAAUAACCUGUGGUCACCCUCUGAUAGGUAUGUUCUGUUAUUAUGUUUUUGUGUAAAUUUUGUCAAGCUAAUGUAACUGUGAUUUUAUUUCACAUGAUCUAUAGGGCCUUACACAAACCUGAACCUAAUAAAGACAUGUGGGACAUAAUCUCAAAAUGAUAUCACUGAAACUCAUUUCCAACCCAAUUAAACUGUUCUCCUAGGGUUGGUUGACAGUCCAGAAUUAUUAGGCUUCUCAGUGGAGCCAGAACAAUCUGUCCAGUGAUACUUGAUCCGAUCAAGUGUUUUCAUGGGUGGUUUGGAAACCAUGUCUUGCUUUGCAGAUGUUAUUUAUCACAAAGUUGCCCCUAGCCCUUUAAUGUUGAGGAUUUGAUAUUAGUGGAGUUGUGGAAGUGAAAUUAUUAGGGUGUCCUUAAAGUCCUUUUCCAUAAAUGAAUGAUUUAUUGGAGCAAUGAAAGAAAGGAAUAAGUUUGCCUGCUCAAUAUAGCCCGUCAUUUUUGAUGAAUGUGACUCACCUUUCUGUAAGAAGUUCAAUUUAGCACUGGUACCAAUUCUUGAAUUUUAUAGAGAAGGAAAUUGUAAAAUGUCUUAGAAAUGUGGCCACGGAGAGAACAAACUGAGGUUGAAUGAUGCAAAAUCAGAACUACACUGAAUGCAACGUAAUGCCAAUGCUGUUCAAUGCCAAGAGACUUACAGGAUAAAAUUUGGCUUUUUCCUUUUGAAAUAAUAUUAGCUUGCUAUUGAGUAAAAUCAGGUAGCAACACUUCAUAACUCCAUUACCUACCUGUUUUGUAUUCAUUAAAGUGUGGCUUUCUUGGCCUGACUGUCAGUGGUAUGCUGAGAUGGCUUGCCACAGCUCCAGAGUGCAUUGUAUAUAUUUCUUCUUGACUUCACGUUAAGUGACAUUAUGUUGGUAGCUUGGAAUUGGUCAUGAUGAAGCUAUAUAUACCAGGAAAACUGGCACAUGCUGCAAAUGAAGGCUCCUGCUCUUCCAGAGAUCUAACUGUUAAGUAUUUAUCAGCAUACUACUAACCUGUGUUCAAAGGUUGAACUGCAGAAGCCUCU
Molecule: long non-coding RNA, 18454 nt
Filed under: Homo sapiens (human)
Lineage: Eukaryota; Metazoa; Chordata; Mammalia; Primates; Hominidae
Description: HSALNT0213915
Source: RNAcentral